UCAUCGACCAGAAUACUUUGAGCAAAAUCAAAAUGAAAUUCUUCAUCAUUUUAUUGGUUUGCUUCGUUGCAUCUUUGGACAGCGCACCAAUGGAAUACAUAUCACCGAACAACAAACCAGCCAAGAAUUCCAUCAUAUAUACGAUAGACAAAUGGGGUGAAGAUGAAUGUCGCGCAGCAGCAAACAAUUGGUGUGGCACACCUUUGUUAGAACAUCCAGAAUGUCUAAAAUAUUUGUAGAAACCCAUUGAUAGUUAAUUCUCUUCAAUAAAAACAUAAUUUGUUCCAAAUUAAUCAAUGCAAAUGCUAUUGCUUAGAAGAAAUUACCAAAUAAAGAAUUUAAGAACAAA
Molecule: long non-coding RNA, 349 nt
Organism: Contarinia nasturtii (swede midge)
Lineage: Eukaryota; Metazoa; Arthropoda; Insecta; Diptera; Cecidomyiidae
Exons: 2
Source: RefSeq, a predicted model, not a curated record